GGCCCCUUACCUCCCCGUCCGCCCAAUUGUUCUCCUUCGUCUCUCUCUCUUUUCUUGUCUCUUAAACCCUAGAAGGGUUUUUCAUUUUUUUUUUCUUUUGGGUCAAAUUUCUUGAUUUUCAUCUCUCUGCUGAUGUAAUUAUCCUUAAAAAUCGAUUAGUAGAAUCGGUUUCAGUGUUGAUUUCUUUCACACGAAACCAUGAGUUCUCUUGCUAAGGCUCUAGCAAGGCGCGUAUAUUCAUCUUCUCAGUUGAGAGCAACACCAACAAGAGAAAGAACAUGGGUUAUCUUGCAACAGUUUCACUCCAUUUCUACUACCACUGCAAGCAGAACUGGCAGUGGUGCUGAACCCAAAUCUUACAAAUUAACCAAUACGCCCAUAGAGAUGGCAGAGACACCGUCGUGGCCGAGGCCCGCUGAGAUACCGUACCAGCCGAAGGUAGCCAACUCAGUGAAUCUGAUUGGCUUCGUGAAUCAGACGGUAGAAUUCCAGGCUGCCUCCGAUGGCAAGUUCUGGGCAGGAACCGUCAUCUCCCAGCGUUCUUCUUCGUCUGACUCUUCUGGCGUCUGGAUCCCGAUUAUAUUUGAAGGUGAUUUGGCUCAUGUUGCUGCUUGCCAUUUGAAGAAAAAUGAUCACAUCCAUAUAUCAGGACAACUUUUUGCAGAUGCUCCUCCUUCCACUACACCUCAAACACCAGUGAAUAUCCAGGUUAUGGUACACAGUCUCAAUUUUGUUGAGGAAGAUUCUCGAGCGAAGCAAGACUUUGCACCAUGGAGAAAAGGUGUAUUAGAACAUUCCGCUAGUGUGAAGAGAGAUGAAGAUAAUGGAUUUGGCUCUUGGAAAGACCUUCUUGAUAAUCCACAAGAGUGGUGGGAUUACCGUGAUGAUAAAAAAAAGGGAUUGGUGAAGCCAAAAUUUCCUGAUUUUAAACGCAAGGAUGGUGGUCAUGCACUUUGGCUUAAUAAGAUUCCUCGCCUGGUUUUGAAAAAACUUGAAACAGUGGAGCUUGACAGACCAGUUUCUAAGUUUAAACAAUUCAAGCAACAAAAAGGGGAUGAAUCCUGGAAGAACUUGGUUGAAAACCCAAAUAAGUGGUGGGACAACAGAUUAGAUAAGAGGACUGAAAAGUAUCCAGACUUCAAGCACAAAGAAACUGGUGAAUGCCUAUGGCUAAGCGGUUCUCCAACAUGGGUACUACCAAAGUUGCCGUCUCCAAAGCAUGAAAGGGCAUCUGCUGCCAGUGGCGAAGUGGUGGAAAGAGGGAUCUGAGUCUUUUGUAACCGAGCUUUAACCAGAAUUUGGUCUGCCUACGCAUCUGGGGAUGAAGAAAGUUGCUCAGUUCUUUUAAAGCAAAUUGUAAAGUAUUGAUUAGAUACAAAAAGAAGUAUGGGGCAUGAAAGAUGGUGAACAGAUGCAGUGUGAGUUCUGUUGAGAAUAAGGAUAAAAAGGUAGGAGGAGUCGUCAAAGUUGUUGAAUGAGGAUGGAAAGAGAAAAGGAAGUCAACAAAGAAGUUGGAGUGGAGAGGAAGGAAAAAGGGAA
This is an RNA transcript of Carica papaya (papaya), 1539 nucleotides long. It is a transcript of the gene named protein OSB2, chloroplastic-like, with no coding region annotated. The record is from RefSeq and is a predicted model, not a curated record. Lineage: Eukaryota; Viridiplantae; Streptophyta; Magnoliopsida; Brassicales; Caricaceae.